UCUCCGUUGGUGAACCAGCGGAGGGAUCAUUACAGGACUGGCAAGACUCCUACAACCCUGUGAACUUAACUACAAGCACGUUGCUGCCGCGGGUGUCUCGGAUGGGGUUCUCCCUACACUAGAUGCUAAACCCGCGGCGAGCCACCUAUACUCCGACUCUUUUCGUUGGAACCUCGAGUCUGAGUAAAAAAUUUAAAAAUUUCAAAAACGGAUAUAUUGGUUCUGGUGUCGAUGAAGAACGGAAGAAAGCGGAAGAUCACACGUCUGAACGCCUGUCAU
RNAcentral lists this unclassified non-coding RNA (279 nucleotides) under plant metagenome. RNAcentral's name for it is "partial contains small subunit ribosomal RNA, internal transcribed spacer 1, and 5.8S ribosomal RNA". The record is from RNAcentral.